This 17-nucleotide unclassified non-coding RNA is filed under the name Mus musculus (house mouse). RNAcentral describes it as "oocyte_clustered_small_RNA2144". The record is from RNAcentral. Lineage: Eukaryota; Metazoa; Chordata; Mammalia; Rodentia; Muridae.
GGCAAGAGGAAAAACCC